GUGAGGAAUAUUGGUCAAUGGGCGCAAGCCUGAACCAGCCAUGCCGCGUGAAGGAUGAAGGCCUUAUGGGUUGUAAACUUCUUUUAUACGGGAAUAAACUUAGCUAUGUAUAGCUAACUGCAGGUACCGUACGAAUAAGCACCGGCUAACUCCGUGCCAGCAGCCGCGGUAAUACGGAGGGUGCAAGCGUUAUCCGGAUUUAUUGGGUUUAAAGGGUCCGCAGGCGGACUAAUAAGUCAGUGGUGAAAUCUCUCGGCUCAACCGAGAAACUGCCAUUGAUACUGUUAGUCUAGAGUGUAGUUGGCGUAGGCGGAAUGUAUCAUGUAGCGGUGAAAUGCUUAGAUAUGAUACAGAACACCGAUCGCGAAGGCAGCUUACGAAACUACAUACUGACGCUCAGGGACGAAACGCGUGGGGAGCGAACAGGAUUACGAUCC
This 437-nucleotide ribosomal RNA is filed under the name uncultured bacterium. Its description in RNAcentral is "bacterial SSU rRNA". It matches the Rfam family "Bacterial small subunit ribosomal RNA", at positions 354 to 786 of the family's 1533-position model. The record is from RNAcentral.